CUAAUUUUCCCUCAUGUGUUAGGAGUCAGAAGGCCUAGAAAUUCACACAAGAUUGAACCAUCAUUGACUCAAUUAGUCAUCAAACUUUCCUGCCGUGCCCACCGUCUUAAGGACUCCUGGAACAAGUCACACCCAGAUUUAGCCACUUAGGCAUCCGGAGACCAAGGCAAACAUGCUAAAAAGGAAGGCCCAGAUAUAUCGCAUACUUGUGGCAGAUUCUGACACUGACCAUAUGGUGCUGGUUUGGCAACAGGCAGAAUCCAGUUACAGGGACAUCAAGCUUGUGACAGAGUUCCAAGUCAGUGGGGCCAGACAACCUGCUGUAGGAUUGGGUUCUACUAAGAGCAAUUUUUGAGGCUGUGAAGGUGAAGACCAAGUGACAGUUGAGACCUCAAGAUAUUGAAGGUGUCAAAGGCAUGAGGAUAUAUGCCAAGAAGAGCUACCGGCACUGAGUGUCUCCAUCAGGAGAAAGGCAAUGCAUGGACCUCCCCAAGUCCAUUGGGGCACAUGUGAUCCUGUCACAUGACCCAGAUGCUGGGCGUGGAGCUGCAGGGUUCAAUGUCUCCCGAGCUAGGACUGGGUCUUGCUUUGAUCUAUUUUUCCUUGUGAAGUCUUUGUGUCUUCCUUUUGGGAUGGAUAUAUUGGGAUGUGUACAUUUGAAACAUGAAACUUUUUUUUUUUGAUUUCACAAGUGCUCAUGGACUUUCUUGAAUCUCAGAAGAGACUGAGGAUUUUUUGAACAAUUUUGAGACUGAUCUUUAAUUCAUCUUGAAAUUUCUUGGCAUUACCUAAAGAUAAAAACAGUAAGCUUUGGCCCCAUCUACUGCGAGAAUGAAGACCAUUCUCAGCAAUCAGACCAUCGACAUUCCAGAAAAUGUGGACAUCACUCUGAAGGGGCGCAGAGUCAUUGUGAAGGGCCCCAGAGGAACCCUCCGAGGGACUUCCAUCACAUCAAGGUAGAGCUGAGUCUCCUCGGGAAGAAGAAGAGGCUACGGGAAGACAAAUGGUGGGGUAACAGAAAGGAACUGGCCACUGUCCGGACCAUCUGCAGCCAUGUUCAAGGGAGUCACACUAGGCUUCGGCUACAAUAUGAGGUCUGUGUAUGCUCACUUCCCCACCAACGUCGUUA
RNAcentral lists this long non-coding RNA (1129 nucleotides) under Cricetulus griseus (Chinese hamster). RNAcentral's name for it is "lncRNA (ENSCGRG00015029022.1)". Lineage: Eukaryota; Metazoa; Chordata; Mammalia; Rodentia; Cricetidae. The record is from RNAcentral.